CUGAUCUGCCCUAUGAGAAUUAAUGGCCGCGGUAUUUUAACCGUGCAAAGGUAGCAUAGUCACUUGUCUCUUAAUUGGAGGCUUGAAUGAAGGGUUGGACGAAAUAUAAACUUUCUUUAUUAUAUAAAGUUGAAUUUGACUUUUGAGUCAAAAGGCUUAAAUUUAUUUAUAGGACGAGAAGACCCUAUAGAAUUUUAUAUUUUUAUACAAGUAGCUUAUUUAUUAAUGAUGAGGCUUUUUAUAUAAAAAUAUUUUGUUGGGGCGAUGGGAAGAUUUUUUUAACUCUUUUUUAUUUAAAUCAUUGAUAUAUGUUUUUUUGAUCCUUUUUUAGAGAUUAAAAGAUUAAAUUACUUUAGGGAUAACAGCGUAAUUUUUUAAACGGU
This 383-nucleotide ribosomal RNA is filed under the name Belostoma micantulum. RNAcentral's name for it is "partial 16S ribosomal RNA". The record is from RNAcentral. Lineage: Eukaryota; Metazoa; Arthropoda; Insecta; Hemiptera; Belostomatidae.